GACGAACGCUGGCGGCGUGCUUAACACAUGCAAGUGGUGCGACGAACCAGGGCUUGCCCUGGGGCAGAGCCGCGAACGGGUGAGUAACACGUGGGUAACGUGCCCCGGUGACUGGGACAACCCGGGGAAACCCGGGCUAAUACCGGAUGUGCUCCCUCACCUCGGUGAGACGAGCAAAGGAAGCUUCGGCCUCCGCGUUGGGAUCGGCCCGCGGCCCAUUAGCUUGUUGGUGAGGUAACGGCUCACCAAGGCUGCGAUGGGUAGCUGGUCUGAGAGGACGAUCAGCCACACUGGGACUGAGACACGGCCCAGACUCCUACGGGAGGCAGCAGUGGGGAAUCUUGCGCAAUGCGCGACAGCGUGACGCAGCAA
Molecule: ribosomal RNA, 372 nt
Filed under: uncultured bacterium
Lineage: Bacteria
Description: bacterial SSU rRNA
Rfam family: Bacterial small subunit ribosomal RNA
Source: RNAcentral